RNAcentral lists this unclassified non-coding RNA (344 nucleotides) under soil metagenome. Its description in RNAcentral is "partial contains 5.8S ribosomal RNA, internal transcribed spacer 2, and large subunit ribosomal RNA". The stretch from base 1 to 120 matches the Rfam family "5.8S ribosomal RNA", at positions 35 to 154 of the family's 154-position model. The record is from RNAcentral.
GAUGAAGAACGUAGCGAAAUGCGAUAAGUAAUGUGAAUUGCAGAAUUCAGUGAAUCAUCGAAUCUUUGAACGCACAUUGCGCCCGCCAGUAUUCUGGCGGGCAUGCCUGUUCGAGCGUCAUUUCCACCAUCAGGCCCCCGGGCCUGUGUUGGGGACCUGCGGCCGCCCGCAGGCCCCGAAAUUCAGUGGCGGUCGCGCCGUAGCAACCGAGCGUAGUAACUAAAACGUCUCGCUCUGGCUCGCUGGGCGCGCUCCGGCCGUAAAACACCCCCCCUUUUCGCAAAGGUUGACCUCGGAUCAGGUAGGAAUACCCGCUGAACUUAAGCAUAUCAAUAAGCGGAGGA